Molecule: ribosomal RNA, 205 nt
Filed under: Staphylococcus aureus
Lineage: Bacteria; Bacillati; Bacillota; Bacilli; Caryophanales; Staphylococcaceae
Description: partial 23S ribosomal RNA
Rfam family: Bacterial large subunit ribosomal RNA
Source: RNAcentral
GAUACUACCCUAGCUGUGUUGGCUUUCUAACCCGCACCACUUAUCGUGGUGGGAGACAGUGUCAGGCGGGCAGUUUGACUGGGGCGGUCGCCUCCUAAAAGGGAACGGAGGCGCUCAAAGGUUCCCUCAGAAUGGUUGGAAAUCAUUCAUAGAGUGUAAAGGCAUAAGGGAGCUUGACUGCGAGACCUACAAGUCGAGCAGGGUC